GUCGAUAGCCUCGGAGUACGUCUCGUCGUCCUGCAGCCAACGAAUUCAGGCACGAGCUGCUACAUCGCUGUACCUGU
Molecule: unclassified non-coding RNA, 77 nt
Filed under: fungal sp.
Lineage: Eukaryota; Fungi
Description: partial internal transcribed spacer region
Source: RNAcentral